Oncorhynchus tshawytscha (Chinook salmon) is the source of this 406-nucleotide long non-coding RNA. Lineage: Eukaryota; Metazoa; Chordata; Actinopteri; Salmoniformes; Salmonidae. The record is from Ensembl.
GGGCAGGUCAAGGAGACACCAGAUGAGAGAGAGAGAGAGAGAGGGGGCAGGUCAAGGAGACACCAGAUGAGAGAGAGAGAGGGGGCAGGUCAAGGAGACACCAGAUGAGAGAGAGAGAGAGGGGGCAGGUCAAGGAGACACCAGAUGAGAGAGAGAGAGAGGGGGCAGGUCAAGGAGACACCAGAUGAGAGAGAGAGAGAGGGGGCAGGUCAAGGAGACACCAGAUGAGAGAGAGAGAGAGAGGGGGCAGGUCAAGGAGACACCAGAUGAGAGAGAGAGAGAGAGAGGGGGCAGGUCAAGGAGACACCAGAUGAGAGAGAGAGAGAGAGGGGGCAGGUCAAGGAGACACCAGAUGAGAGAGAGAGAGGGGGCAGGUCAAGGAGACACCAGAUGAGAGAGAGAGGGG